RNAcentral lists this ribosomal RNA (433 nucleotides) under uncultured bacterium. Its description in RNAcentral is "partial 16S ribosomal RNA". It matches the Rfam family "Bacterial small subunit ribosomal RNA", at positions 29 to 507 of the family's 1533-position model. The record is from RNAcentral.
AGCGAACGCUGGCGGCAGGCCUAACACAUGCAAGUCGAACGAACUCUUCGGAGUUAGUGGCGGACGGGUGAGUAACACGUGGGAACGUGCCUUUUGGUUCGGAAUAACUCAGGGAAACUUGUGCUAAUACCGAAUGUGCCCUUCGGGGGAAAGAUUUAUCGCCAUUAGAGCGGCCCGCGUCUGAUUAGCUAGUUGGGGAGGUAACGGCUCACCAAGGCGACGAUCAGUAGCUGGUCUGAGAGGAUGACCAGCGACACUGGGACUGAGACACGGCCCAGACUCCUACGGGAGGCAGCAGUGGGGAAUCUUGCGCAAUGGGCGAAAGCCUGACGCAGCCAUGCCGCGUGAAUGAUGAAGGUCGUAGGAUUGUAAAAUUCUUUCACCGGGGACGAUAAUGACGGUACCCGGAGAAGAAGCCCCGGCUAACUUCGUG